AUGAGCAAAAUCUCAACUUUAUUAGAAGAGACGCAUUUAUUAGAUAAAAAGCCAAUGCAUGCUUUUACAGUAUGAAAAUUGGUGAUUUAUAAUAACUUAGCAAAUCGCGUAGUGAAAACAGGCGAUAAAUCAUUCAAGUUUCUGACCUAUCAGCUUUCGACGGUAUGGUAUUGGCUUACCGUGGCAGUGACGGUUAACGGGGGAUCAGGGUUCGAUUCCGGAGAGGGAGCCUGAGAAACGGCUACCACAUCUAAGGAAGGCAGCAGGCGCGCAAAUUACCCAAUUCUAACAGUUUGAGAGAGGUAGUAACAAGAAAUAACAAUACAAGGCAGUUAAAAUGCUUUGUAAUUGGAAUGAUAGAAAUUUAAACCCUUUUUAAAGUAUCAAUUGGAGGGCAAGUCUGGUGCCAGCAGCCGCGGUAAUUCCAGCUCCAAUAGCGUAUAUUAAAAUUGUUGCAGUUAAAAAGCUCGUAGUUGAAGUUCUGCUAAAAGUAACCGGUCUGCUUUGAAUAAAAGUGGUAUCUUGGUAUGUAUUUAGCAAUGAUGUCCUUUGAAGUGUUUUUUACUUUAUUGUAAUAAAGCAUAUUCAGGACUUUUACUUUGAGAAAAUUAGAGUGUUUCUAGCAGGCCAACGCUUUGAAUACUGCAGCAU
Molecule: ribosomal RNA, 651 nt
Filed under: Hepatozoon canis
Lineage: Eukaryota; Apicomplexa; Hepatozoidae
Description: bacterial SSU rRNA
Rfam family: Eukaryotic small subunit ribosomal RNA
Source: RNAcentral